CCUAUAUUUUAUCUCAGAAUAAAAUAUGGGCAAUAGUUUUGAUGUGAAAAUGAAAUCACUUACUUGUAAGUGCAUUCUACGCGCUCAUGAUUUAAAUUAUAUGCACAAAUCUUGAAGGACGUAUUUAUUUUUUCUUAAAUAAUGCAUGAAUUGACUUAAUGCUAGCUGGUGUGACCUUUUUUCAUAGUCAAGCAGAUAAGCUGAUGCGGACAUCCAGGCUAUGACAAUAGAUGCGGACUUCCAGGCUAUGACAAUAGAUGCGGACAUCCAGGCUAUGACAAUAGAUGCGGACUUCCAGGCUAUGACAAUAGAUGCGGACUUCUAGGGCGAGGCUAUGACAAUAGUCUUAUUUUGAAAAUGAUGCAGGUUAAAGGGCGAAAAUAAGUGCAUCUUUCGUUGCAGUAUAUGUAAUGAGGAAUUUUACAUCAGGUGAGGAUUGAGAUACCAUGCCCCAUUCAUGGACCACAUGAGUUUAAAUGUAGAAUAUGCAAGAAAGAAUCCUUCAACAAAGCCGGACCCUACAGCAAAUGAAAAAACACGAACCAAACAAAACAUGUAAAGCUGAUGUUUGUAGUGUUUUUGUUUUAUUUAUAAAGUCUACAUAGACACGUCUGACAUAUAAUUGCUAUGAGUGCUACUUACUUACACGUUUUAUUCCGUAUAUGUCAUGAAUGCUAGUUUCUCACUUUGUAAUGAAAAUAAAUCAUUAUCUGUGU
Dreissena polymorpha is the source of this 716-nucleotide long non-coding RNA. RefSeq lists it as uncharacterized. The transcript has 2 exons. Lineage: Eukaryota; Metazoa; Mollusca; Bivalvia; Myida; Dreissenidae. The record is from RefSeq and is a predicted model, not a curated record.